Non-coding RNA from Mus caroli (Ryukyu mouse), 371 nucleotides. The record is from RefSeq and is a predicted model, not a curated record. NCBI's taxonomy places the organism in Eukaryota, Metazoa, Chordata, Mammalia, Rodentia, Muridae.
UUGGGGUGUCGGUGAAAGUUGUCUCUUCCUGUGUGAACAUGGUGCGGACCAAAGCAAACUACGUCCCAGGAGCCUACAGAAAAGUGGUGGCUUCUCAAGCCCCUAGGAAGGUGCUUGGCUCCUCCACCUUUGUCACCAAUUCUUCAAGUUCGUGGAGAAAAGCUGAAAAUAAGUAUGCAGGAGGGAACCCAGUCUGUGUGCGCCCAACUCCCAAGUGGCAAAAAGGCAUCGGGGAAUUCUUCAGGCUGUCCCCUAAAGAUUCUAGAAAGGAGAACCAGAUUCCUGAAGAAGCAGAAAGCAGUGGCUUAGGAAAAGCAAAGAGAAAAGCUUGUCCUUUGCAACCUGAUCACAAAGAUGAUGAAAACGAAUAG